UACGAAGGGGGCUAGCGUUGUUCGGAAUUACUGGGCGUAAAGCGCGUGUAGGCGGCCUUGCAAGUCGGGUGUGAAAGCCCUCAGCUCAACUGAGGAAGCGCGCCCGAAACUGCAGAGCUUGAGUACCGGAGAGGAUGGCGGAAUUCCCCAAGUAGAGGUGAAAUUCGUAGAUAUGGGGAGGAACACCGGUGGCGAAGGCGGCCACCUGGGCCGGAACUGACGCUGAGGCGCGAAAGCGUGGGGAGCAAACGGG
This 253-nucleotide ribosomal RNA is filed under the name uncultured bacterium. RNAcentral's name for it is "partial 16S ribosomal RNA". It matches the Rfam family "Bacterial small subunit ribosomal RNA", at positions 524 to 776 of the family's 1533-position model. The record is from RNAcentral.